This 280-nucleotide ribosomal RNA is filed under the name uncultured Gigaspora. Its description in RNAcentral is "partial 18S ribosomal RNA". It matches the Rfam family "Eukaryotic small subunit ribosomal RNA", at positions 548 to 834 of the family's 1831-position model. Lineage: Eukaryota; Fungi; Glomeromycota; Glomeromycetes; Diversisporales; Gigasporaceae. The record is from RNAcentral.
UUGGAGGGCAAGUCUGGUGCCAGCAGCCGCGGUAAUUCCAGCUCCAAUAGCGUAUAUUAAAGUUGUUGCAGUUAAAAAGCUCGUAGUUGAAUUUCGGGGUUCUACCGUUGGUCAGGCAAUAGUCUGUACUGGCGUGUAGAAUUUCUACCUUCUGGGGAACCAUCAUGUUAUUUAUUUAGCGUGAUGGGAAACCAGGACCUUUACCUUGAAAAAAUUAGAGUGUUCAAAGCAGGCUUACGUCUGAAUACAUUAGCAUGGAAUAAUAAAAUAGGACGGUGGU